This 229-nucleotide ribosomal RNA is filed under the name uncultured bacterium. RNAcentral describes it as "partial 16S ribosomal RNA". It matches the Rfam family "Bacterial small subunit ribosomal RNA", at positions 568 to 796 of the family's 1533-position model. The record is from RNAcentral.
UCCGUAGGUGGAUAAUUAAGUCAGAGGUGAAAUCCUGCAGCUCAACUGUAGAAUUGCCUUUGAUACUGGUUAUCUUGAGUCAUUAUGAAGUGGUUAGAAUGUGUAGUGUAGCGGUGAAAUGCAUAGAUAUUACACAGAAUACCGAUUGCGAAGGCAGAUCACCAAUAAUGUACUGACACUGAGGGACGAAAGCGUGGGGAGCGAACAGGAUUAGAUACCCUGGUAGUCC